UUAGUGUGGCUUAAUUUGAUUCGAUACGAGGAAACUUAUCAUGUCAAAACAUAAGGAUUAACAGAUAGAAAACUCUUUCUUAGUGGUGCAUGGUUGUUCUUAGUUGGUGAAACAAUUUAUUUGGUUAAUUUCGAUAACGAAUGAGACAACAGCUUGCUAAUUAGUUAUACGGAAACAUCUUUAUGCAGUCAGCUUCUUAGAGGGACUACAAUCGUUUAAGCCAUAAAAGUUUGAGGUAAUAACAUGUCUAUGAUGCCUUUAAAUGUUUUGGGCCACACACACGUAUUACUAUAUUAAGUAAAGUGUAUAGCCUUGUUUGAUAAUCCUGAGUAAUCUUUAAAAAUUUUAUCAUGAUGGGGAUAGAUCAUUACAAUUGUUGGUCUUCAACGAGGAAUUCAUAAUAAACAUGAGUCAUCAACUUAUGGUGACUA
Molecule: non-coding RNA, 431 nt
Filed under: Musa acuminata subsp. malaccensis (wild Malaysian banana)
Lineage: Eukaryota; Viridiplantae; Streptophyta; Magnoliopsida; Zingiberales; Musaceae
Description: Eukaryotic small subunit ribosomal RNA
Rfam family: Eukaryotic small subunit ribosomal RNA
Source: Rfam by way of RNAcentral